This is a long non-coding RNA of Drosophila subpulchrella, 732 nucleotides long. RefSeq lists it as uncharacterized. The transcript is spliced from 2 exons. The record is from RefSeq and is a predicted model, not a curated record. Lineage: Eukaryota; Metazoa; Arthropoda; Insecta; Diptera; Drosophilidae.
GGAAAUAGGAAUUAUGUAAUAACUGCAAGAUGUCGAUUGCGAUUUGGAUUUGGAUUUGGAUAACUUAAAAUUAAAUGAGACUGAGAACGCUGUAAGGAAAAUCGUUUGAGCCAGAUCGGAUGACAUCAGGCACCCGCAAUAGCAUAUACAAUAUACAUAAAUCCUUGGCGGCAAGCAGACAAGAAAUAAUGAAUAAGACAGAAAACAGUAAGCAGUAAAUGACGCGCGAUUGAGUUUCACAUUGUCAAGUGAUUUACAAUUCGUUCGCCUCAAUUGAAUGAGCGCCAUUUGGCGGCCCGAGUUGCGUGUUGCUGCUGUCGUUGACGUUGCUGCUGCUGUUGCUAGUUGCUGUUGCUGUUGCCUCAUGGUCGCUGAACUGGCAGCAUCAUUGAGCAUUUAUGCGCGCCAUCGAUCAAGUCGGAGCCAAGCCGCAGCCACAUCGACAUCCAACGACGACUUGGAAAAUGCAUCUGCGUUCGUCGGCAGUUACGAAAUAUCCAAGUUUUGUUUGCAGCCAGUUGACACACAUACUGCGGAAAUGUAUCUCAGCGAUGAGUCAGUGUCGAAAAACAUUUAAUAGGCGUUUUCUACAAUCAUUUCAUCUCGAAUUCUUUGUUUUACUUUACGACUCCCUAAUGAAAAUUAGUAAUUUUUUGUUUUUAAGUGCGAGUUUCAUACGGAUUUGUCAUAGGCCUUUUGAUAACAUUGCUUAUUAAAAACCUCUUAAACUUU